Molecule: ribosomal RNA, 253 nt
Filed under: uncultured bacterium
Lineage: Bacteria
Also listed under: 1 other name
Description: partial 16S ribosomal RNA
Rfam family: Bacterial small subunit ribosomal RNA
Source: RNAcentral
UACGUAGGGUGCGAGCGUUGUCCGGAAUUAUUGGGCGUAAAGAGCUUGUAGGUGGCUCGUUGCGUCGGGAGUGAAAACCUGCGGCUUAACCGCAGGCCUGCUUCCGAUACGGGCGAGCUAGAGUUCGGCAGGGGAGACUGGAAUUCCUGGUGUAGCGGUGGAAUGCGCAGAUAUCAGGAGGAACACCGGUGGCGAAGGCGGGUCUCUGGGCCGAUACUGACACUGAGAAGCGAAAGCGUGGGGAGCGAACAGG